RNAcentral lists this ribosomal RNA (561 nucleotides) under Triticum aestivum (bread wheat). RNAcentral's name for it is "partial small subunit ribosomal RNA". The record is from RNAcentral. Lineage: Eukaryota; Viridiplantae; Streptophyta; Magnoliopsida; Poales; Poaceae.
AUGGCAAUUCAAAUGGAGAAGCUGGUUCAAGCACUCAAUACGCACAAUCAGAUUAUCCUUCCUUUGAUCCUCCCACCAAGUCAAUAUAACAACCAACAUCAUAAUUAUGCCAACACCAUUGUUCUUCCAAGUGAGAGCCCAAUAAGGAUGAUGGACUUCCUGUCACCAAAAGUAUACCCAAGCACUAUUGGCACACCCCUUGAAGAUCCUUUGUUAGUUCAAGCACUUGAACAACAUGAAACACAUUCCAGUAAGUUCUAUAAACCAGAAGGUUCAUCUUGGCAGCAACGCGUAAACAAUUCUUUCAAAUCUGGGACAGUAGUAAUCCAAGAUCAGAAGAAGGGAAAUAAGGAGGUCAUUUUUUCAACUGGAAUAGAUAAUGCCUUCUACCAAUCAUUGGUUGGACAUCUUUCCAAGUUAACCUAUAGGUACGACUCAGGAAUUUCCCUCCUUAGUAUCUUAGCAAGUACAAAGGUCUCGGAAUGGAAGGUUUCUCCAAUGGUUUCCGCAUUUUCAAGGGAAGCAUUCAACAUGAUUUCUGCAUAUGAACAAAGCUUUUAG